GCAGCAGUGGGGAAUAUUGCACAAUGGGCGCAAGCCUGAUGCAGCCAUGCCGCGUGUGUGAAGAAGGCCUUCGGGUUGUAAAGCACUUUCAGUCGUGAGGAAGGUAGUUGCGUUAAUAGCGUAAUUAUUUGACGUUAGCGACAGAAGAAGCACCGGCUAACUCCGUGCCAGCAGCCGCGGUAAUACGGAGGGUGCGAGCGUUAAUCGGAAUUACUGGGCGUAAAGCGCAUGCAGGUGGUUUGUUAAGUCAGAUGUGAAAGCCCGGGGCUCAACCUCGGAAUUGCAUUUGAAACUGGCAGACUAGAGUACUGUAGAGGGGGGUAGAAUUUCAGGUGUAGCGGUGAAAUGCGUAGAGAUCUGAAGGAAUACCGGUGGCGAAGGCGGCCCCCUGGACAGAUACUGACACUCAGAUGCGAAAGCGUGGGGAGCAAACAGGAUUAGAUACCCUGGUAGUCCACGCCGUAAACGAUGUCUACUUGGAGGUUGUGGCCUUGAGCCGUGGCUUUCGGAGCUAACGCGUUAAGUAGACCGCCUGGGGAGUACGGUCGCAAGAUUAAAACUCAAAG
RNAcentral lists this ribosomal RNA (566 nucleotides) under Vibrio sp. 6JANF2-E-1. RNAcentral describes it as "bacterial SSU rRNA". It matches the Rfam family "Bacterial small subunit ribosomal RNA", at positions 348 to 906 of the family's 1533-position model. Lineage: Bacteria; Pseudomonadati; Pseudomonadota; Gammaproteobacteria; Vibrionales; Vibrionaceae. The record is from RNAcentral.